GGAACGGUGGCUGAGUGGUUGAAAGCGGCACCCUGCUAAGGUGUUAAUCGGGUUUGUUCCGGUUCGAGGGUUCGAAUCCCUCCCGUUCCGCCA
RNAcentral lists this transfer RNA (93 nucleotides) under Alphaproteobacteria bacterium. RNAcentral describes it as "tRNA-Ser". It matches the Rfam family "tRNA". Rfam says of the family: Transfer RNA (tRNA) molecules are approximately 80 nucleotides in length. Their secondary structure includes four short double-helical elements and three loops (D, anti-codon, and T loops). Further hydrogen bonds mediate the characteristic L-shaped molecular structure. tRNAs have two regions of fundamental functional importance: the anti-codon, which is responsible for specific mRNA codon recognition, and the 3' end, to which the tRNAs corresponding amino acid is attached (by aminoacyl-tRNA synthetases). tRNAs cope with the degeneracy of the genetic code in two manners: having more than one tRNA (with a specific anti-codon) for a particular amino acid; and 'wobble' base-pairing, i.e. permitting non-standard base-pairing at the 3rd anti-codon position. The record is from RNAcentral. Lineage: Bacteria; Pseudomonadati; Pseudomonadota; Alphaproteobacteria.